Long non-coding RNA from Hypanus sabinus (Atlantic stingray), 5773 nucleotides. RefSeq lists it as uncharacterized. NCBI's taxonomy places the organism in Eukaryota, Metazoa, Chordata, Chondrichthyes, Myliobatiformes, Dasyatidae. The transcript is spliced from 5 exons. The record is from RefSeq and is a predicted model, not a curated record.
GCAAGAUUACUUUUUUAUUUUCAUCUUCUACAGUUUCAAAAUAACAAAAAAAAAGAAAAGGGCCUGAAGCAAAAGUUUGGGCACCCUGCAUGGUCAAUAAUUAGUAACACUCCCUUUGGCAAGUAUCAUAAUUUGUAAACGCUUUCUGUAGCCAGCUAAGAGUCUUUCAAUUCUUGUUUGGGGGAUUUUUGCCCAUUCUUCCUUGCAAAAGGCUCCUAGUUCUGUGAAAUUCUUGGGCCGUCUUGCACGCACUGCACUUAUGAGGUCUAUCCACUGAUUUUUGAUGAUGUUUAUGUCAGGGGACUGUGAGGGCCAUGACAAAACCAUCAGCUUGCGCCUCUUGAGGUAUUCGCCUCAGAAUCCAUUGUGGAUUCUGAGGUGUGUUUAGGUUCAUUAUCCUGUUGUAGAAGCCAUCCUCUUUACACCUUCAGCUUUUUUUUACAAAUGGUGUGAUGUUUGCUUCCAGAAUUUGCUGGUAUUUCGUUGAAUUCAUUCUUCCCUCUACCAGUGAAAUGUUGCCUGUGCCACUGGCUGCAACACAAGCUGAUCGAUCCACCCCUGUGAUUAACAGUUGGAGAGGUGUUACUUUCAUGAAAUUCUGCACCCUUUUUUCUCCAAAUAUAUCUUUGCUCAUUGUGGCCAAGAAGUUCUAUUUUAACUUCAUCAGUCCACAGGACUUGUUUCAAAAAUGUAUCGGGCUUGUUUAGAUGUUCCUUUGCAAACUUCUGCUGCUGCAUUUUGUGGUGAGGAUGCAGGAAAGGUUUUCUUCCAUGAAGGUCAUAUUUGUGCAGAUGUCGCUGCACAGUAGAACAGUGCACCACCACUCCAGAGUCUGCUAAAUCUUCCUGAAGGUCUAUUGCAGUCAAACAGGGGUUUUGAUUUGCCUUUCUAGCAAUCCUUCGAGCAGUUCUCUCAGAAAGUUUUCUUCGUCUUCCAGACCUCAACUUGACCUCCAUCCUUCCUGUUAACUGCCAUUUCUAAUUACAUUACUCACUGAGGAAACGGCUACCUGAAAAUGCUUUGCUAUCUUCUUAUAGCUUUCUCUUGCUUUGUGGGCAUCAUUUAUUUUAAUUUUCAGAGUGCUAGGCAGCUGCUGAUUGUUGGGACAAGGUUUGAGGAGUCAGGGUAUUUAUAAAGCUUUGAAAUUUACAUCACCUGGCCUUUCCUAACGAUGACUGUGAACAAGCCAUUGCCCAAACAAGCUAAUUAAGGCCUGAGACCUUGGUAAAAGUUAUCUGAGAGCUCAAAUCUCUUGGGGUGCCCAAAUUUUUUCAUGGUGCUCCUUUUCUUUUUUUCACUCUAAAAUUGUACAAAACAAAAAUAAUACACUAAGCUUGCUUAAAAUGUUGAAAAGAAUGUUUCAUCUUUAACUUUAUGACUUUUGGAGAUCAGUUAAUCUUCUACUCACUUAACUAUUAGCAGUAACAGAAAUUUUGACCAGGGGGCCCAAAAUUUGUAUGCCACUGUAUAUAUAACAUAAAAUAUUUAAAUAAGGAGUGCGAAAGCAAGUAGUGAGUUAAUGUUCAUGGGUUCAAUGUCCAUUCAGAAAUCUGAAGACAGAGAGGCAGAAUCUGCUUCUGAAUUGUUGAGUGUGUUCCUUCUCCCAAUAAGAAGAGGGCUUGACCUGAGUGAUGGGGUCCUAAAUGAUGGAUGCUUCCUUUUGAUCAUCGCUCAUUGAAGAUGUCCUGGAUGCUGUGGAAACUAGUGCCCAUGAUGGAGUUGACUGAGUUAUAUAUGCUAUAUGGAAUAUAGUAUAGCAGCAGACCUUUGGCCCAUGAUGUUGCUGCAAAAAAUUGAUUUAAUAAAACCCCUCUGUUUUCAUGUGGUUCAUAUCACUGUAUUCUCUCCAUAUUCUUGUUAGUUGAAUGAUUUCAUUUGAACUUGUUGGCAAACCAAGCAUUUGAUCUUGCUUGUAAAAUUCCUAUUUUGAUGAAACAGAGAUCCAGGAAUAUGAAAUAAUUGUAUCCACCACAAGCGACUAGUAGAACCAUACACUCUAGUCACAGAGCUGUAGGAAAAUCUGAGGCUGUAAUAUAUAGUGUGAGAUAUAUGGUGAAAUAGCAUUAGCCAUUACUCAGCACAAGUUCAUCAAUUUACCAAAAAAGCCACAUUUUAACAAUCUGCAGGAUACAAUAGGAAACAAAAAAAAACAUUUUCCGUGGCAUUACAAUACUGGAAGAGAAAAAAAAAGUUGAAAAAAAAUUGUUGGAAAGAAUGUUUCAUCUUUAACGUUAUGACUUUUGGAGAUCAGUUCAUCUUCUACUCACAGAGAGUUUGACUAGGGUGCCCAAACCUUUGCAUGGCACUGUACGGUGACUUUCCUGAUUUGCAGCACUCAUGUUGGAGGGUAAUCCUGACUUCUACUGCUCCAACAGGCAAAUGUUUCCAAGAGUUUUCAAGAGUUAUCCCUGCUCUGGAUAACCUCCUGUCGUGACAGAGUACAGAUCUAUUUUUGGAGUCUGGUGUCAAGCAUAUCCUCUCCAAUGUAAUGAAUGUUUCUGGGCUCUAGAUAGUAGGAUAUCUUUUUGAAAUGUAUUGAGACAUUGAGAGAUAUCGCUAGCUGCAUCUUGUUCAUUCAGCUCCUUAAUUACAUCACAAGCAUUCAAAUGUUACACCUGGAUGUCACAUACAUGCAUCCAUUUUAUAGAUUUCCUCUUUGAAAAGAAAGAAUGAUUCACAUCUGCACACAUUAUUUACCAAUUUCAAAGUUCAAAGUAAAUUUAUUGUUACAGAGAUUCAUUUUCUUGCAAGCAUGCUCCAUAAAUCUAUGGUAUAAUAACCAAAACAGAAUCAAUAAAAAAAAUCCAACUAGAGCAUUCAACCAGAGUGCAAAAGAAAACAAACUGUGCAACUACAAAAAGAAGAAAUAAUAAGUAAACAAACAAACAAACAAACAAAUAAAUAAAUAAUUAUUGAAAAUACGAGAUGAAGUGUCUUUGAAAUGAGCCCACUGGUUGUGGGAAUGGUUUAAACUCUCCAAGGUACUCUGAUCUUCCUUGAUCUUUUCAAGGCAAGUUGUGUUGUUGGUCUCUAUCUGGGUCUUGUCUGAAAUGAAGAGUCAUUACUUGAUUUGGAUCACUAGAAUCUUGUGAUGUCUCUUCUAUGAGUAAUGAUAGAUUUAGUUGUAGAAUACACUCACAAUCACAUAAUUCUUCAAUAUCUCUUGCAGAAUUAAAUUUAUUUACAUGUACACUUUUAUUUCUUUGUAAAGCAGCAAUAUCUCAUUUCAGAAUGUGGUGCAUUAUUAUUCAAAAUCUAUGCUUAAAAUGGGUCAGUUGUCCUAUGGGGAAAUAAUGGGCAGAGUAGGUUUAUAUCUGCUGCAAGAAUGAGAGGGUACUGGACUGAAUCAGAUAACAUUUUGAAUGGUCUUAACAAUGGCAGGAUAUUUCCUCUUGUGGAAGGAUCUAAAGCCAGUGAUUAUGUGAAAAAUAAGGGAUUAACUAUUUAAAGAGGGGUGAUUUAUUUUGUACUCAGUGGAUUAAGAUUCUUUCAGGUUCCCUUCCUCAAAGGAAGGUGGACACUAUGAUUACUUAUAAAGAAAGUGUUGUAUUCUGAUGUUUUUGAACCAAAGUUCUUUCAGAAGUCAAUAAAGAGGCAUAAAACUUGUUGCUUCAUGAUUGUUUUAUUAAGCACUAAUAGAACUAAGAGAAUUGGAAAUGAAGACGUGUGGGAUGUAGUAGUGGAAGGAAAAGAAGAAGCAAAGAUGGUGGAUCAAUAUGUCCAGCCCUUCCUAUACCAUAGUGAACUCUCCACUGCACCAUCCUGGAUGCUGGAUGAUAUGAUGCAGUGGGCCUGACGGAAACUUUAAUUCUUAGAACACCCAUAUGGGAAUGAAUGGAACUGGGGACAAGUAAUAGUCUAUGAGGAAUUUUGCAUGGUUACACGCACAACGUGCUGGAGGAACUCUGCAGGACAGAUAGCGGCUAUGGAAAAGAUGAUGAUCUCUACACUAUGAACACAGGUGCAAAAUCUUGAGCAACACAUACGCAAAAGUCAGGCACCAUCAAUGGAGGGGAAUGGAUAAUCGGCAUUUUGAGAUGAGACCCUUCAUCUUGUGGCCUUGCUAUCAAUUUUUAUUAUGAAUGGUGGUUCCAGUCCGGAGCCCGCCUUGCUCCGGUCCGCAGACUCCGGACUCCGGGCCUUGCAGCCAGCCCUCCUGUCACACGGAGCCAUUGGAUCAUCUUGGCUUAAGGAGGUUACACCUGUCACCUAUUAGGGGGCAGGUGUUUAUAAGGGGCUCGGGGACUGAGCCUAGGUUUGGGGUUGUCCUGCUCUGAAGCUGGUUUAACCCGGUCUGUACCUGGACUGCUGGCUCUGAAUCCUGUUCUGCCCUGGUUGCCACCCUGCUUGGAAUCCUGCUCUGGCCUGGUUGCUGAACCAUUCUGUAUAUGCUCUAUCUGGUUGGUCUUGUUCCCCUGCUUCUCUCCUGUGCGCUGGUCCUGCUGUUCCACCUUAUUCUCUUUGCUCGCUCUGCCUCGCUGUUGGUGGCCUUUCCCAAAUUGCCUGUGUAUGACAGUAGUCCUGUUGUUCACCCUGGACCCAGCUUCCUUCUGAUCCCUUGCUUCUGUUGGGCAGCUCUGGCUGGACUGCUACUGCCUGGUGGGGGUUCUGCCCCUUCCUACCCGUUACCUCCGUCAGGCAGGUCUGGCUGGAUUGCCGCUGGCCGGCUGAUUUUUCUGCCCUUUCCACCCAUUUGUGCCCCGCACCUGCCCAAGUGUCCGUGACUGGCCCAGACCUGGGAAGCGGCUCUGCCCGGGAUCCAUGCGGCCCACCUUAAGGACUCCCACCCUUUCCUCCCUUCAUUUCCCAUGGGUUGUGCCCGGCACCUGCCCAGGCCUCUGUUUCUGCCUGGGAGGCAGCCCUGUCUGGGAUCUAUGCGGCCCGCCAUGAAGAAUCCUCCUGCCUGCCUCGUCUGGCCUCUGGGAUCCAGCCCCCACCUGCCUUACCCUUUACAUGCCAUGGCAUCCCCAUCCUGUCCUAUCCCUAGUACCAGUGUCUGCAUCCUGCAUUUGGGUCCAAUCCUGCCCCUGUUCCUGACAUCCAAUCUCUCCAAUUAUUUUGUAUGUAUUUGCAAUGCAUUUACAGACCUUAGAAAAGGUGAUGAAUGUCAAUAUUCAAUAUCUACCCCAGAGAAUUCCAAUAGAUUGAAUGAGGGAUAGAGUGAAUUCUCCUCAGCAUUGUCAUUACUGUGCUUUCACUCAAUAGAGGAGAGUUAAUCCAACCCUUCACCACACAUUAUUCAAAAAGAACUGAACCAAUAAUGGUUCAGUUUGGUUUGAGGAAACACUUAGGGUAAAAUUUAUAUCCAGGAGUAAUACUAGCAGAGUGAAUUCAUUGCCUAUUAUAAUAAAACAUAAGUUUUGAUAUUUUGUUCUAACCUGGCAACUUUAAAAUACUCUCUUCAACUUGAAGGGGGCUGAGAUGAAUUUUAUUGUCCCAAGCACAAUGGUGCCAGGCUAUCUAAUGUAUUCUUGAUGAUUCAAUGAUGACCAAUUCAGUUCAAGUGAGAAGUGGAAAACAUAAACAAAUUCCUCAGAAUCCAACCAAAUUAUUUACGUUUAUAUUUGCUCCAAUUUGAGACUCUAGUGAGUAGCUGCUGUAGAAAUAAUGGAAACCAAUGUUACAUAUACAGAUUGUCAAACUCAAUUCAAUUCUGAAGGUGAGAUAGUUAUCCAAAACAUUUUCAAUCAAUUCAGGGAGAGGAGAAUCAUAAUUUGGGAAAAAGGGAAGGGAGCGGGUUGCACCAGAGAGACUUUCUGUAAUGAUCAAUAAA